Molecule: long non-coding RNA, 878 nt
Filed under: Homo sapiens (human)
Lineage: Eukaryota; Metazoa; Chordata; Mammalia; Primates; Hominidae
Description: HSALNT0291669
Source: RNAcentral
ACACGGACCCCACGAGCGCGGCGGCGGCGACAGCAGCGGGCCAGGCAAGAGCACAACAUGGCGGCGGGCAGGACGGACCGAGCUACAGCAGCGGCCGCGCGAGGAAGUGAGGUCUCUGGCGAAGGCGGGAAGCGCUGCCCCUCCCCCCGCCGCCGCUUCCCUAUCACCCUCGCACAGAAACUCCCGCACACUCACACACCUCUGCUCAGGAGUCCAGGAAGAGCAGGAGCCGCCCCCGCGCUCCUACGGAGUCGGGCAAUGCAGAGGCCCAGGCGCGGCGGAGGGGAGGGGGAAGUGUGCGUCACGGAGAACGGAGCGCGCGCGAAGCGGGGGCACAAGCAAGAUGGCGGCCACGCCGUUUGCACCGUUUCCCCUUUUCCCUUCCCCCUCCCUUGGCGCCUGGACUCCCAGUAUCGUGCGGUGCGCAGAAGCUGUGCUCCUUGAGGUCUCGCGAGAAUUGGGAAGGGGCGACGACAGAGGGAGGCGGAAUGAGAUCUGAGAGUUUUAACCCCGCCCCCUUUCGGGAGCUCGAGAUCUGAGUUUUGACCCCGCCCCCUUUCGGGGGAUCCGGAGGCGCUGCCCAGUGACCUCCACCACCCUGCCUAUCCUUGUGGAUCUCCUUGGUGCGAGCUUGAAUUUUAGGAAAUAAGUAGGUGUGUGCGCGUGCCCUUGAGUUUUAGGAACUAAGUAGGGGCGUGUGUGUGUAUUUGUGUUUUUAAUUUGGGGAGAAAGAACUGGGGGAUGAAGGUCGACAUGGCGUUCCAGAUUAAGCAUGCCGUUCAAGUAGACAGCUACUGGCACCUUAAAUUCAUAAAAGAGCAUUUAGCACCAAACUGUAAAGUGAUGUCCUCUAGAAUAAAGAACAGUACUUACCAAGA